This 259-nucleotide ribosomal RNA is filed under the name uncultured bacterium. RNAcentral's name for it is "partial 16S ribosomal RNA". It matches the Rfam family "Bacterial small subunit ribosomal RNA", at positions 95 to 354 of the family's 1533-position model. The record is from RNAcentral.
UUGGCGGACGGGUGAGUAACGCGUGGAAAACCUGCCGUAUACUGGGGGAUAACACUUAGAAAUAGGUGCUAAUACCGCAUAAGCGCACAGCUUCGCAUGAAGCGGUGUGAAAAACUCUGGUGGUAUACGAUGGUUCCGCGUCUGAUUAGCCAGUUGGUGGGGUAAUGGCCUACCAAGGCAACGAUCAGUAGCCGGCCUGAGAGGGUGAACGGCCACAUUGGGACUGAGACACGGCCCAAACUCCUACGGGAGGCAGCAG